CCUACGGGUGGCAGCAGUGGGGAAUCUUGCUCAAUGGGCGCAAGCCUGAAGCAGCGACGCCGCGUGUGGGAAGAAGGUCUUCGGAUUGUAAACCACUUUCAGGAGGGAAGAAGCGAAAGUGACGGUACCUCCAGAAGAAGCCCCGGCCAACUACGUGCCAGCAGCCGCGGUAAUACGUAGGGGGCAAGCGUUGUCCGGAAUUAUUGGGCGUAAAGAGCUCGUAGGCGGCCCAUCAAGUCGGAUGUGAAAUCUCAAGGCUCAACCUUGAAAUUGCAUCCGAUACUGGCGGGCUUGAGGCAGGUAGGGGAAGGUGGAAUUCCUGGUGUAGCGGUGAAAUGCGCAGAUAUCAGGAGGAACACCGGUGGCGAAGGCGGCCUUCUGGGCCUGUUCUGACGCUGAGGAGCGAAAGCGUGGGGAGCAAACAGGAUUAGAUACCCUAG
Molecule: ribosomal RNA, 440 nt
Filed under: uncultured bacterium
Lineage: Bacteria
Description: bacterial SSU rRNA
Rfam family: Bacterial small subunit ribosomal RNA
Source: RNAcentral